RNAcentral lists this long non-coding RNA (425 nucleotides) under Callithrix jacchus (white-tufted-ear marmoset). RNAcentral describes it as "lncRNA (ENSCJAG00000066634.2)". Lineage: Eukaryota; Metazoa; Chordata; Mammalia; Primates; Cebidae. The record is from RNAcentral.
UUCUCCAGCCCUUCUGUAGGAUACUGGCUCAGUCACCACACACACAGCUUCAGUCGAAGGUGAAAAGUGUUCGGGGAGCUGUGGAGAGACACCGAGCUGUCUCUAGGAUAGCCAUGCAGCCGGCCCCUCUCCAGACCUUCCUGCUAACAAAGUAAAAAACAAAUCUCAAUUUUAGGAACCAAUGAAAAAUGUAAUUCAUUCUACAGCUGACUUGGCUUGACCAUUCCUCUCAUAGAAUGUGAAAGAAGAGCCGGAAAGUAAGUGUUAUUAAGAGACUAGUUUUUCAAAUAAUAGAAUCAAAGAAGUACAAAUGCAUUUAGGCAUGAAAGCAAUCGUUUGAACAUAAGAUGAACUUUAACGGUUAGUGAAAAACUGUAUAAAAUUAUCAAGAAACCAUUUGUUUUGAGUUUACGUUUAAACUUCCA